UUGCACGAGUGAUUCAUAGGUAUCCUUAUUGUGCAAAGCACAGGGGAUUUAAUUGGGAACACAGAACGAGCCUACCCAACAAGGGGCUUUAAACUGUGGCCGCCCCCGCGACUGUAAGCGGCGAGCGUGCGUUCAUAUCCACUGGCUUUGGCUGGGAAGGGAACGUUACGUGUUGAGCCGCGAGCCAGGAGACCAGCCUGUGAAGAACGAAAUCA
RNAcentral lists this non-coding RNA (215 nucleotides) under Rhodobacteraceae bacterium HTCC2150. RNAcentral also lists the same sequence under 1 other name. The record is from RNAcentral. Lineage: Bacteria; Pseudomonadati; Pseudomonadota; Alphaproteobacteria; Rhodobacterales; Paracoccaceae.